UACGUAGGGGGCGAGCGUUGUCCGGAGUUACUGGGCGUAAAGCGCACGCAGGCGGUCUGCUAAGUUUGGAGUGACAGUUGGUGGCUUAACUGCCAAAGUGCUUCGAAAACUGACAGACUUGAGGGCUUCAGAGGGACACGGAAUUCCGGGUGUAGCGGUGGAAUGCGUAGAGAUCCGGAAGAACACCGGUGGCGAAGGCGGCCUGCUGGGCAGUUUUGCUGACACUGAGGCGCGACAGCGUGGGGAGCAAACAGG
RNAcentral lists this ribosomal RNA (255 nucleotides) under uncultured bacterium. RNAcentral's name for it is "partial 16S ribosomal RNA". It matches the Rfam family "Bacterial small subunit ribosomal RNA", at positions 524 to 776 of the family's 1533-position model. The record is from RNAcentral.